Molecule: long non-coding RNA, 807 nt
Organism: Poeciliopsis prolifica (blackstripe livebearer)
Lineage: Eukaryota; Metazoa; Chordata; Actinopteri; Cyprinodontiformes; Poeciliidae
Exons: 3
Source: RefSeq, a predicted model, not a curated record
ACCACCUCCCCCUGCUCCAGCACCAUCUCCCCCUGCUCCAGCACCAUCUCCCUCUGCUCUGCCAUUAACUGCUCUUCAGUCUGCGACCCAGAGAAAAUCUCUAGCAGAGAAAUGAUUAAGGUAGGACGUAGAAGUAGAAGUGUCUGGUUACCAGGUUACCAGAAACGCCUGCGAUAUAACAGCAUCGCGUUGGCAAGCAAAUUGAGAAACAUGAUUUAAGUUUAAAAAUUUACUGAAUUACCUCAUUUCUACCUCAAAAGAAAGGGUCAGCCAGCGAGUUCGACGGUGGUGUUGGUGUCAGGGAAACUGAAGCUGUAAUAAGAACGACUUUAAAGAGUUUCAUUAAAGCUGACUUCACACCAGCAGUGCGACGAACUCUUAAUUGCCAAAAAGAAGAAGAGGUGGAAGUGAUAUAUAUCAAUGCACAUACUUUGUAUUAUCAUAAAUGUAUGUCUCACAAAGAAUGUCUGUCUUUGUACUGAUAUGCUUUCAUCUUGUUUUAAUGAUAGGAAUAAUUUCAGUCUCAGUACAACAAACUGGUAGCUUUAUUAAUUCAUAUGUAGAAAAUGAUUCAAACAUUAUGCAAAUCAAAUGAUUUGCAUAAUGUUGGAUAACAUAUAAAAUGUUUUGUAAAAUGAAAUGGUGUCAGGUGUCACGAUAAUGAACCUAUUCCUUACAUUUUGUUUUAUUUUCCACUACACCUCACCACAUCCUGAUCAUCAGAUGUGCAUGAUGUUUUUUUCACUGACUUAAACGUGUUUGUACUUCUGUCCAAAGUGAAUGGAUAUAAGUUGUAUUACUGUGAUG